Molecule: long non-coding RNA, 1457 nt
Filed under: Chrysolophus pictus (golden pheasant)
Lineage: Eukaryota; Metazoa; Chordata; Aves; Galliformes; Phasianidae
Description: lncRNA (ENSCPIG00010014863.1)
Source: RNAcentral
UUUGCAGAGAGAUGUAACUUUUCAUCUUCAACACAACUAGACUUGACAUGAAGAGCAGCAAAAAGAGAGAGUUCAGCAGUGUUCAGGACCACAUUGCUUAGUGACAUUCCCAUACAAUCCAAGUGGCCUCAGAGCAUCCACAUGACUGGACUUCAUGGAUUAUCUGGAUUAUAUUACAAUAUGGAUAGAUCUCAGAGCGUCUGGCAAACCUGAUAAUGAACAUCAUUGUAGGAAGAGAAACUUGAUGGAGAAAUUGAGGCACAGUCUUACGGGGCUAGGCUCUACCCUCAAGACUGGUGUCAGAGCAGCAGAGACUCCAACUCCUUUCACCCGAGUGGGUAGUGAUAGCCAAAAUUUCUUCAGUGUUUCUUCCAUGGCAUGUCUCCAAGUGGAGUCCUCAUAACAAAGCUGGACUAAUAUCCCAAAGUAAGUGCAGAUACCCUCAGUGGAGUCUGUAAUUAUUCUCUCUGCUGCCUGGCUGCCCUCUCCCCUGCCUUCCCUCUGGGCCUGGACACCUGUGUUGUACUGUGAUUGCCUCUUCAUUUAUGGCAAACAAGUCUGGAUUCUCCCCCUGUAUAUUUUUAAGGCAUUUUGAACAAAUCUGGUUUCUUUUUUCUCUCUUUUUGUCUCGGCGUGUGUUUUUAAUUGGAUCCACUGCUGUACUUUCCCUGCUUGCUAAUGCUUUUCUUUGGGGAAGCACAAGUUUUUAACAACCCUGCAAGUACUCUCUCCUCUUUGCCAAGCCAAGUCCAUUUCUUUCUUGGGGAUAACCUGACUCUGACCUACUUGUCAGCUAUACAACAAAUGCGGUGCUUUCAGAUUAGUCUACUACUGUUCAGAAUCACAAAACUUAGCCAUAAUUUGCAUACCGGCAGGAGAGCAGCAGAAAGUCACACAAGGAAGCUGGUUUCUGCAGGAAGGCUGUGUACUUGCCCUCAGGGAUAUUACCCACUGAUUCCCAAUAUUCAGAAAUGCCUCCCCUAGAUGCUUGCUGUCCUUUCAUACCCCCUAUGCAAUGCUUUUUGGGCAGAGCCUCAAGCUUUAAGUCAGACACGGGUGUCAAAGACUUCAUCCUUUUCAGUUUCUCUAUAGCAUCAUUUGCUUCAAGGAACAUUCCUGUGGUUGCCGCCAGGCUCCUGUCCAGAGGAAAAGAUUCAGGUGGCUUCGUUCCCUUUGUCGUUGUCAGACGUUUACAUUCNNNNNNNNNNNNNNNNNNNNNNNNNNNNNNNGCUGCAUCAUGGAAGUGUCACACACUGAAUUCUUUCCCUCUUUCAGAUAGAAGACAAAAGAAGAGGACAUUCACAUCUCAGUUAUCCGCCCUUUCUGAAUUUCUAAAUGAAGUUACUCUCAAAAAUGAAAUAACAGCCACCUCCACACCUCAGCAAAAGUUUGGUAGCAAAGUACUACUAGAACGAUGGAUCAUGUUUUUAAAGAGAUUUCUUUGUAUAACAGAAUAG